AGUGAACGCUGGCGGUAGGCCUAACACAUGCAAGUCGAACGGCAGCACAGUAAGAGUUUGCUCUUACGGGUGGCGAGUGGCGGACGGGUGAGGAAUACAUCGGAAUCUACUUUUUCGUGGGGGAUAACGUAGGGAAACUUACGCUAAUACCGCAUACGACCUACGGGUGAAAGCAGGGGAUCUUCGGACCUUGCGCGACUGAAUGAGCCGAUGUCGGAUUAGCUAGUUGGCAGGGUAAAGGCCCACCAAGGCGACGAUCCGUAGCUGGUCUGAGAGGAUGAUCAGCCACACUGGAACUGAGACACGGUCCAGACUCCUACGGGAGGCAGCAGUGGGGAAUAUUGGACAAUGGGCGCAAGCCUGAUCCAGCCAUACCGCGUGAGUGAAGAAGGCCUUCGGGUUGUAAAGCCCUUUUGUUGGGAAAGAAAAGCAGCAGGUUAAUACCCCGCUGUUCUGACGGUACCCAAAGAAUAAGCACCGGCUAACUUCGUG
This 492-nucleotide ribosomal RNA is filed under the name uncultured bacterium. RNAcentral describes it as "partial 16S ribosomal RNA". It matches the Rfam family "Bacterial small subunit ribosomal RNA", at positions 29 to 507 of the family's 1533-position model. The record is from RNAcentral.